AAGACCUUGCGCUUUUGGAGCGGCCGAUGUCUGAUUAGCUUGUUGGUAAGGUAAAAGCUUACCAAGGCUUCGAUCAGUAGCUGGUCUGAGAGGACGGCCAGCCACACUGGGACUGAGACACGGCCCAGACUCCUACGGGAGGCAGCAGUGGGGAAUUUUGGACAAUGGGGGCAACCCUGAUCCAGCCAUGCCGCGUGAGUGAAGAAGGCCUUCGGGUUGUAAAGCUCUUUCAGCCGGAACGAAACGGUUACGGUUAAUACCCGUGACUACUGACGGUACCGGAAGAAGAAGCACCGGCUAACUACGUGCCAGCAGCCGCGGUAAUACGUAGGGCGCAAGCGUUAAUCGGAAUUACUGGGCGUAAAGCGUGCGCAGGUGGUUUUGUAAGUCAGAUGUGAAAUCCCCGGGCUUAACCUGGGAACU
This 423-nucleotide ribosomal RNA is filed under the name uncultured bacterium. RNAcentral's name for it is "bacterial SSU rRNA". It matches the Rfam family "Bacterial small subunit ribosomal RNA", at positions 207 to 622 of the family's 1533-position model. The record is from RNAcentral.